AUGCAUCCGCAGGCACAAUCCCCACGACGGAUUUCGUCUGCCCUGACGGGAUGCAUCUCCGAACUCCCCAUCAGCUUGGUGGAAAAUUUCUCAUCGCGUGAUAAGCUGCAACAGAUCGUGACGGCGGCUUCUACUGUUAAAGAUGUUGAACAUGUAUCAGCGGUGAUCCAUAAUUCAAGUGUUGACCCUCGGCAUGCCUCUGCAUCUAGCCAUCGUACGGCCGAUCUCACGUGCCCUGCUACGUCUGCUGAAAAUACUAGUACUGCAGAAUAUGAAUCAAACUUGAGUAUGGUGGAUGGAGCUUCAGCUACAGAAUCAGGUAAAAGCUUGCAAACUCAAAUGAGCGAGGGAGAAUUUAGGACGCCAAGAAAGAAAGAAAGCAUUCCCCUAUUUUGCUCGUCUUUUACGCCAAGUUGCGACGAAAAUUUUGAAGGGCUUGAGGCUGUGGAGGAUUUCUACAAGUCGUAUGCACAUUAUGUGGGUUUUGGAGUUCGUGUCGGACAACAGAAAAUGUUGAACAAAGAAGUGGUUCAGACAAAGCGUUUCAUGUGCAGUAGAGGAGGAUUUAGGACUGAGAAGAACAAGGAGAUUAAAGACCCAUCAAACCAAUCAAUGAAAAGCCGUAAGAUACAACCACACGAUGCGGUUGUGAUGCACAUAUCUUCGUCAAGUUGUGUGGCGACAACACCUACAAGAUACAGUCAUGGGUUGAGUACCAUAGCCAUGGCCUUGUAUCACCUGAUAAACGUCACUUGA
RNAcentral lists this ribosomal RNA (756 nucleotides) under Triticum aestivum (bread wheat). RNAcentral's name for it is "partial small subunit ribosomal RNA". The record is from RNAcentral. Lineage: Eukaryota; Viridiplantae; Streptophyta; Magnoliopsida; Poales; Poaceae.